RNAcentral lists this ribosomal RNA (513 nucleotides) under uncultured bacterium. Its description in RNAcentral is "partial 16S ribosomal RNA". It matches the Rfam family "Bacterial small subunit ribosomal RNA", at positions 28 to 523 of the family's 1533-position model. The record is from RNAcentral.
GACGAACGCUGGCGGCGUGCCUAAUACAUGCAAGUUGAGCGCUGAAGGUUGGUACUUGUACCGACUGGAUGAGCAGCGAACGGGUGAGUAACGCGUGGGGAAUCUGCCUUUGAGCGGGGGACAACAUUUGGAAACGAAUGCUAAUACCGCAUAAAAACUUUAAACACAAGUUUUAAGUUUGAAAGAUGCAAUUGCAUCACUCAAAGAUGAUCCCGCGUUGUAUUAGCUAGUUGGUGAGGUAAAGGCUCACCAAGGCGAUGAUACAUAGCCGACCUGAGAGGGGGAUCGGCCACGUUGGGACUGAGACACGGCCCAAACUCCUACGGGAAGCAGCAGUAGGGAAUCUUCGGCAAUGGACGAAAGUCUGACCGAGCAACGCCGCGUGAGUGAAGAAGGUUUUCGGAUCGUAAAACUCUGUUGGUAGAGAAGAACGUUGGUGAGAGUGGAAAGCUCAUCAAGUGACGGUAACUACCCAGAAAGGGACGGCUAACUACGUGCCAGCAGCCGCGGUAA